UAGAAACACACUCUUUUUCUUUCUCUGAAAUCUAAAAGCAGUUUUUCCUCAAAUCUUUAAAACCAAUUUCUUGGGAUGGAGUCAUAUUUUUAGUAGAAAUAUGCUAAAUUGGUGACUCCCACCCACAGUCUUUUCUGCAAGGAGAGAGACUCUUCUGAGAAACUGGAGCGAGGAGCUGAGGAAAUUUUCAACUCAACGGAAUUUCCCCUGAGACUGUAAAGAAACACAGAAUAAGCUGUAAACAGAGGUGCUACCACAAGGACCGGAAGCAGAGACCACACUGGUGCUCAGCUGGGUUGCAGGCUCUGCCUGGUUUCAUUGUCGGGGAAGCCACCAGGCCUGCCCCCAGCCAGCGAGAUGUCACGCAUGCAGCCGGGUGUCAUCCCCAAAACUCCCGGGAAACUCUCGGGGCACCAGGGCAGGAAGAGGCUGACGUCAACUUUAACUCCGGGGACUUCAAACGAAACUUUUAGAAAUGAUUCCUUUGCCCUUUACUUGGUGACGUAAUAAACUGAUCUUUCUCUGAAAAGAUGGGCCGAUUUGCUUCAAGGAGCUCAUUUCAUGAGGAGAAAAUACACACAAAUAUAUAUAUAUAUAUAUAUAUAUUUUUUUUCUUUUUUUUUUUGAGACGGAGUUUCCCUCUGUCACCCAGGCUGGAGUGCAGUGGCUCAAUCUCGGCUCACUGCAACCUCAGCCUCCAGGUUCAGGGGAUUCUCCUGCCUCAGCCUCCCUGAGUAGCUGGGAUUACAGGCAUGUGCCACCACACCUGGCUAACUUUUGUAUUUUUAGUAGAGACGGGGUUUCACCAUGUUGGUCAGCUGUUCUCGAACUCCUGACCUCAGGUGAUCUGCCCGCCUCAGCCUCCCAAAGUGCUGGGAUUACAGACGUGAGCCAUCAUGCCCA
RNAcentral lists this long non-coding RNA (903 nucleotides) under Homo sapiens (human). RNAcentral describes it as "HSALNT0158306". The record is from RNAcentral. Lineage: Eukaryota; Metazoa; Chordata; Mammalia; Primates; Hominidae.